CAGCAGCUGUGGAUGGGCAAAGAUAUGCAAGAGAUCUCUUCUCGCUGGGUCCCCGGGCUUCAAGAGCAGCACCGGCGACUUCAUGGCGAGGACUUAGAUGUCUACACGCUGUCUACCUGUUAGAUGGCAACACUGGCACCAGGUAUGAACACUGCAUAUUCUGGUUGGACAAUUUGUUUAUGUUUUUUAUUCUCUGAACCGCCUCAUUGGAUACAUAAAUUUUAAGCUUUGUAUGCGAUUAUGUUUAUGCAACAUAAAUGCUUGAAUAUAUUGUUCUUGUACAUAUUCUGAAAGAGCUUUAAUUAGUAGAUGUCCAUGGCAGCAAAUUGCAGGCUUACAAGUUAUUAAGUAUCAUAUGCUGCUCUAAGUUGAUUAUGUGUUCCAGUCCAUCUCGACACUAACAUCCAUUGGAAUCCCAUAUUGUUGCUUAGACUCUCAUCCUUGGCCAUAAACAUAUAUGAGUAGUGAUCGUUGUUGAGGCGUUGAGCCCUCAAUGAAACAAUACCUCAGUUUUAUACGUGACAGCAGUGCAAGACUAUUCAAAACUGUAGCUACUCUUGCUGAACCGCCACAUGUGUGCUUGUACCAGUUUGUGACUCUGUCCUUGAAACCGUCGGGUAUUUGUUCGUUUAUUUCUGAACUUGGAGCGGAGGCCUUUGCUCUACUGAAAUGAGCCACUCGUUCCUUGCAACCAUACUACAUGUUUUCUAUGGCUUGUUUCGUAAUUGAUGUUAUAUGCUGGACAAAAUGGUGGCAGCCUAGGACUGAUGGUGGUGUACUGGUGUUUGCUGCCACAGGCAAAGGGCGCGUGAGACACACAUAUACUUUGAGUAAGCCUGUCAAUGCUGAAGAUGUGCAAGUAGCAUGAUGUGUAGCGAGCUGGAAGGAGGUGCCCUGUUUCUCUUGGGGCAGGUGCCCUGGCAUUAAUGCACUGUGGAAUUUCAUCUCGUUUCUUUCUGAAUUCCGGUCAGAGGCCUUUGUGGUAUGGUUUCAUUUUUAUUCUUGAAUGUAAUCGACAUGUUCCUUUUUUGAUUUCGUUCUGAACUUGAGGACGGAGAUCUUUGCUUUACUGACAAUGAUUUGCGGAUUCGCUGCGCCAUAAAUAAUUUGUUCUUGUAUGCGUGUGUUUCCAAAGCCUGUAACACCAAAAUUGGUGCUUAAUUGUUAUGCUCCUUGUAACAUAUACGCUUAAUAACCUGUGGUGCAGACUUACAGUCAGGGUUGUUGUAUGAUUGUGUCUCAGCUUUGUUGUUGGCGCCAUCAGCUUCAGUCUGAACAGAAGGCAUGCUCUAUGUUCUGAAGAAUCAUGGACGACGAGCA
Molecule: long non-coding RNA, 1320 nt
Filed under: Triticum aestivum (bread wheat)
Lineage: Eukaryota; Viridiplantae; Streptophyta; Magnoliopsida; Poales; Poaceae
Description: long non-coding RNA (TAES_LNC026738)
Source: RNAcentral